This 253-nucleotide ribosomal RNA is filed under the name uncultured bacterium. RNAcentral describes it as "partial 16S ribosomal RNA". It matches the Rfam family "Bacterial small subunit ribosomal RNA", at positions 524 to 776 of the family's 1533-position model. The record is from RNAcentral.
GACAGAGGGUGCAAACGUUGCUCGGAAUUACUGGGCAUAAAGCGCGUGUAGGCUGACCGGAAAGUCGGGCGUGAAAUCCCUGAGCUCAACUCAGGAACUGCACUCGAAACUCUCGGUCUAGAGUGGUGGAGAGGGAAGUGGAAUUCCUGGUGUAGAGGUGAAAUUCGUAGAUAUCAGGAGGAACACCGGUGGCGAAGGCGGCUUCCUGGACACCAACUGACGCUGAGGUGCGAAAGCGUGGGGAGCAAACAGG